RNAcentral lists this ribosomal RNA (154 nucleotides) under Phellinus sp. JV 1412/12-J. RNAcentral describes it as "5.8S ribosomal RNA". It matches the Rfam family "5.8S ribosomal RNA". From Rfam's summary of the family: 5.8S ribosomal RNA (5.8S rRNA) is a component of the large subunit of the eukaryotic ribosome. Lineage: Eukaryota; Fungi; Basidiomycota; Agaricomycetes; Hymenochaetales; Hymenochaetaceae. The record is from RNAcentral.
AACUUUCAACAACGGAUCUCUUGGCUCUCGCAUCGAUGAAGAACGCAGCGAAAUGCGAUAAGUAAUGUGAAUUGCAGAAUUCAGUGAAUCAUCGAAUUUUUGAACGCACCUUGCGCCCUUUGGUAUUCCGAGGGGCAUGCCUGUUUGAGUGUUA